GGGGGGGGGGGGGGGGGGGGGGGGGAGGGGCGGGGCGGGCGGGGGGGCCGUGCUGGUGGGGGGUGCUGGGGUGGCGAACGGGUGGGUAACACGUGGGUAACCUGCCCUUGACUUUGGGAUAACUUCAGGAAACUGGGGCUAAUACCGGAUAGGAGCUCCUGCUGCAUGGUGGGGGUUGGAAAGUUUCGGCGGUUGGGGAUGGACUCGCGGCUGAUCAGCUUGUUGGUGGGGUAGUGGCUUACCAAGGCUUUGACGGGUAGCCGGCCUGAGAGGGUGACCGGCCACAUUGGGACUGAGAUACGGCCCAGACUCCUACGGGAGGCAGCAGUGGGGAAUAUUGCACAAUGGGCGGAAGCCUGAUGCAGCAACGCCGCGUGCGGGAUGACGGCCUUCGGGUUGUAAACCGCUUUCGCCUGUGACGAAGCGUGAGUGACGGUAAUGGGUAAAGAAGCACCGGCUAACUACGUG
Molecule: ribosomal RNA, 468 nt
Filed under: uncultured bacterium
Lineage: Bacteria
Description: partial 16S ribosomal RNA
Rfam family: Bacterial small subunit ribosomal RNA
Source: RNAcentral